CAGUCGCCGCGGUAAUGCGGAGGGGGCUAGCGUUGUUCGGAAUUACUGGGCGUAAAGCGCACGUAGGCGGCCUGGUAAGUUAGAGGUGAAAGCCUGGAGCUCAACUCCAGAAUUGCCUUUAAGACUGCCGAGCUAGCAGGUGAGAGAGGUAAGUGGAAUUCCGAGUGUAGAGGUGAAAUUCGUAGAUAUUCGGAAGAACACCAGUGGCGAAGGCGGCUUACUGGCUCAUACUGGACGCUGAGGUGCGAAAGCGUGGGGAGCAAACAGGAUUAGAUACCCCCGUAGUCCCUGUCUCUUAUAC
Molecule: ribosomal RNA, 301 nt
Filed under: uncultured bacterium
Lineage: Bacteria
Description: partial 16S ribosomal RNA
Rfam family: Bacterial small subunit ribosomal RNA
Source: RNAcentral